Molecule: ribosomal RNA, 465 nt
Filed under: uncultured bacterium
Lineage: Bacteria
Description: partial 16S ribosomal RNA
Rfam family: Bacterial small subunit ribosomal RNA
Source: RNAcentral
GAUGAACGCUGGCGGCGUGCUUAACACAUGCAAGUCGAACGGAAAGGCUACAGCUUGCCGGGGUUCUCGAGUGGCGAACGGGUGAGUAACACGUGGGUGAUAUGCCCUGCUAUUAGGGAUAUGCCUGGGAAACUGGGGCUCAUACCGGAUAGGACCACAUGAUGGACGGGGUGGUGGAAAGAUUUUCGGUGUGGGAUGGGCUCGCGGCCUAUCAGCUUGUUGGUGGGGUAAUGGGCUACCAAGCCGUCGACGGGUGGCCGGCCUGAGAGGGGGUACGGCCACCAUGGGACUGCGGUACGGCCCAGACGCGUACGUGAGGCAGUAGGGGGGAGUAUGGCAGAAUGGGCGCGAGCCUGAUGCAGCGACGCUGCGUGGGUGAUGACGGCCUUCUGGUUGAAAACACCUUUCGCUAGGGAUGAAGCGCAAGUGACGGUACCUGGUGAAGAAGCACCGGCUAACUACGUG